GAUGAACGCUGGCGGCGUGCCUAAUACAUGCAAGUCGAGCGAACAGACGAGGAGCUUGCUCCACUGACGUUAGCGGCGGACGGGUGAGUAACACGUGGAUAACCUACCUAUAAGACUGGGAUAACUUCGGGAAACCGGAGCUAAUACCGGAUAAUAUAUUGAACCGCAUGGUUCAAUAGUGAAAGACGGGUUUGCUGUCACUUAUAGAUGGAUCCGCGCCGCAUUAGCUAGUUGGUAAGGUAACGGCUUACCAAGGCAACGAUGCGUAGCCGACCUGAGAGGGUGAUCGGCCACACUGGAACUGAGACACGGUCCAGACUCCGACGGGAGGCAGCAGUAGCUAAUCUUCCGCAAUGGGCGAAAGCCUGACGGAGCAACGCCGCGUGAGUGAUGAAGGUCUUCGGAUCGUAAAACUCUGUUAUUAGGGAAGAACAAAUGUGUAAGUAACUAUGCACGUCUUGACGGUACCUAAUCAGAAAGCCACGGCUAACUACGUG
RNAcentral lists this ribosomal RNA (497 nucleotides) under uncultured bacterium. RNAcentral describes it as "partial 16S ribosomal RNA". It matches the Rfam family "Bacterial small subunit ribosomal RNA", at positions 28 to 507 of the family's 1533-position model. The record is from RNAcentral.